CAUAACUGAAGCAAUCUUAUAUCUUUAAUUUAUGAACUUACCUGGCACUUACCUGUGCGUCCGCAAGACCAAUCAUAAAUAUAAGCAACUAUUAAUGCAUAAAUAAAAUAGGCAGAUACUUUGCAUGGCAUUUCAAAAGGUAUAAUCAUUCAAUUUCAUUUUCUGGAAAAAAUCUCAAGUAUAUAGGUAUAUAUGGAAAACCAAAAGCCAACUCACUGAUAUGUCAAAGGGUCGUAGCCCCCAAGCCUCGAUUGAUGUUUCUUAUCCUCCAGAUAGGUCUCACCUAUAUGCAAAAUAACUAAAUAAAUGUUAUUUAAAGCACAUACACAAAACUAGGAAAUAACUUCUCAUACAUUGCUCAAAUAGGGUAUUUGAAUAUACCACCAUGACCUACUCAACCUCAGGAACAUCCCCAUAUUUUUAGA
RNAcentral lists this long non-coding RNA (425 nucleotides) under Malus domestica (apple). RNAcentral's name for it is "long non-coding RNA (MDOM_LNC000256)". Lineage: Eukaryota; Viridiplantae; Streptophyta; Magnoliopsida; Rosales; Rosaceae. The record is from RNAcentral.